This is a small nuclear RNA of Ochotona curzoniae (black-lipped pika), 162 nucleotides long. RefSeq annotates it as U1 spliceosomal RNA. NCBI's taxonomy places the organism in Eukaryota, Metazoa, Chordata, Mammalia, Lagomorpha, Ochotonidae. The record is from RefSeq and is a predicted model, not a curated record. The transcript has a single exon.
AGACUUAUCUGGCAGGUGGCAUACCAUGAUCACAAGGGUGAUUUUCCAGAUGAGGCUCAUCCGUUGCGCUCCAGAUGUGUUGACCCCUGCAAUUUCCCCAGGCAUGGGAAACUCAGCUGCAUAAUUUCUGGUAGUUAGGGACUGCAUUCACACUUUCCCAUU